GGAUAUUAUGGCUUUUGUUAUUAGUGUGAUUGUUAGCACUUGUUGGCUUUAUUGGCAAAUUCUCACUGAUUUAGAUUAAUAGCUGAAGCAAUUGAAGUCACUGAGCGCCCGAUAAGUGGGCCGGGGGUUCGAGUUCAACCGGGUCCGGCCCAGGCGACCGCCUUAUUCAGGCUUAGUCGAGCCCGAGUCAAGUCAAUUUGGAACUCUGGUCGAUUGAACCAGAUGAGAACGGCAUCCUCAAAGUCGGACCCGUGCCCUAAAUGCAGCGGUGAAACCGUCUCCUUCUCCACAGCGACCGCGACUGCGGCGUUUUCCUUGGCGAAAGGCGGCAGCAGCGGCGGCAUCUUCCUCCGUCGAGCUCUUUUCGCUGCGGCGUUUUCCACGAAGAACGGUGGAUGCUGCGGCUUCCUCUCCGUCGGCGAACGGUGACAGCGCCCGGGAUAUAGUGUGCUUCACAGUUUCUAAAGCUACUAGCUACAAUAGAUAAAUAGCGGAAGGUAGUGUCAGUGUGCAUGUGUCUUAUCAAGACAUUAUUUCAGUGGUGGUUAAUAGCUUGGAUGUGAGCAUGGUAAUAAGUAAAUGUUCAAUGGUACUCUUAAUCAACAUUCAAACACGAUUUAGAGGCUUACAUCUGAAAGAAACUGUUAAUGGGAACUGAAUGCCGGUGGAUUUACGUGAGUGGUAGGGGAAUGUUAUCCGAUACAGAUGUUUAGUUGGAAGCUUUCAACUUCCUUUUGGUUGGAAGCAGAUACAGAAAAUAUAUUUAGUUCGGAUGUGCUUGAUUUGAGGUAGAAGAGGCAUUUGGACUUGGAGAGGACAGCAAUAAAACUACUUUUCUUGUGUUUUUCUGCAAACAGUGUGUGAUACUGCUUCAAAAUAUAAUGUUUUUGGUGCAAAAGAGGCUCUUUUGCAUUCUCCCAUGUAACAAGUCCACCGUCCAUCUUUCUUGCUAUGAAAUCUGCAGACUGUUUAGUAGCUUUUCCACCGCCAAAGACCAAAUUUCAGAUCAUAAAUCCAACUUUACCGUGGUCAAUUUCCUUCAAUCAUGUGAACUUUCCUCAGAAAAGGCUGCAAAAACAGCCAAGUGUCGCACCUGUCACACAAAAUCUUCAAGUUCAAGUCUUUCCAUUGAGUUCUUUAAGCAGAGUGGUUGGAGUGAUGCACAAGUCAUGAAGCUUAUGCAGAGGGAACCCUGGCUUCUACGUGCUAACGUAGAGACUAUCCUGAAGCCCAGGAUGAGAUCUUUGCAGGACAUGGGAUUUUCUGACACUGAAAUAGUUCAGCUGGUUUCAUCAUGUCCGUGUCUGCUCUAUUUACGUGAUAUCCAACCAAGGAUCGACUUCUGGAGGUCACUUCUUGGUUCUCAUGAGAGGUUAAUUAAAGCCAGCAGGAGGAGCAUGUUUCUCCUUUCUUCUAGCUUGGCUGGAAAGAUUGAGCCCAAUAUAUCUCUUUUGAGAGAGUGUGGCUUCAGUGAGCAAUUCAUCGCGCAGAUGGUGGUCGCACAACCGAGUUUUUUUUGUCGAACGAACAAAUAUAUCGACGAAUCUAUCAAACGUGUUGAGGAGUUGGGUGUGUCACGGGACUGUAAAAUGUUCCCUCAUGCACUUUUAUCAGUCAUGACCCAGAGCAGGUCCAGGUUUGAUGCUACCUUUGCAACCUUGAUGAGCUUUGGGUGGUCCCAACCAGACAGCCUUGCUACAUUCAGGAAGCAUCCAGGCAUUUGGAAUUACUCAAAGAAGAACAUAUCUGACAAGGUGACAUUCCUGAUGAAGGAAGCUGGUUGUGAGCUGACAUAUAUCAUUGGCCAUCCCGUGCUUCUUACAUAUAGUUUGGAGAAGAGGUUGAGACCUCGAUAUGAAGUUGUGAAUUUUCUUGAUCAGAAUAAAUUGCUGGAUAAAGGAUAUAACCUGCUAUCUGUCAUACUGCUGUCUGAAGAGAAGUUCAGAAACAAAUUCCUUUUCCUGCUACGCAAGGAGAAAUUUAUUGCUCAAUAUGAUUCCUACGUUGUUGCUGUGCAGGGAAAGCACCACGUUGUUGUGGAAAACUAGGAUUUCAAGUGCUUCCUUAAGACAAAGUGUCAUCCUAUUGCAUGCUGACUGCAAAUUAAUCACUUUAUAUUUGUGACAAUUUAAAUUCUGCAAGAGUUUCUUGGAAUUGAACUUCCACGUUGA
Molecule: long non-coding RNA, 2171 nt
Organism: Musa acuminata AAA Group (dessert banana)
Lineage: Eukaryota; Viridiplantae; Streptophyta; Magnoliopsida; Zingiberales; Musaceae
Exons: 2
Source: RefSeq, a predicted model, not a curated record